GAUGAACGCUGGCGGCGUGCCUAAUACAUGCAAGUCGAGCGAACAGACGAGGAGCUUGCUCCUCUGACGUUAGCGGCGGACGGGUGAGUAACACGUGGAUAACCUACCUAUAAGACUGGGAUAACUUCGGGAAACCGGAGCUAAUACCGGAUAAUAUAUUGAACCGCAUGGUUCAAUAGUGAAAGACGGUUUUGCUGUCACUUAUAGAUGGAUCCGCGCCGCAUUAGCUAGUUGGUAAGGUAACGGCUUACCAAGGCAACGAUGCGUAGCCGACGUGAGAGGGUGAUCGGCCACACUGGAACUGAGACACGGUCCAUACUCCUACGGGAGGCAGCAGUAGGGAAUCUUCCGCAAUGGGCGAAAGCCUGACGGAGCAACGCCGCGUGAGUGAUGAAGGUCUUCGGAUCGUAAAACUCUGUUAUUAGGGAAGAACAAAUUUGUAAGUAACUAUGCACGUCUUGACGGUACCUAAUCAGAAAGCCACGGCUAACUACGUG
RNAcentral lists this ribosomal RNA (497 nucleotides) under uncultured bacterium. RNAcentral's name for it is "partial 16S ribosomal RNA". It matches the Rfam family "Bacterial small subunit ribosomal RNA", at positions 28 to 507 of the family's 1533-position model. The record is from RNAcentral.